This 82-nucleotide transfer RNA is filed under the name Sciadococcus taiwanensis. Its description in RNAcentral is "tRNA-Leu". It matches the Rfam family "tRNA". From Rfam's summary of the family: Transfer RNA (tRNA) molecules are approximately 80 nucleotides in length. Their secondary structure includes four short double-helical elements and three loops (D, anti-codon, and T loops). Further hydrogen bonds mediate the characteristic L-shaped molecular structure. tRNAs have two regions of fundamental functional importance: the anti-codon, which is responsible for specific mRNA codon recognition, and the 3' end, to which the tRNAs corresponding amino acid is attached (by aminoacyl-tRNA synthetases). tRNAs cope with the degeneracy of the genetic code in two manners: having more than one tRNA (with a specific anti-codon) for a particular amino acid; and 'wobble' base-pairing, i.e. permitting non-standard base-pairing at the 3rd anti-codon position. The record is from RNAcentral. Lineage: Eukaryota; Rhodophyta; Bangiophyceae; Cavernulicolales; Cavernulicolaceae.
GGGUAGGUGGCGAAAAUGGUAAACGCAUCACACUCAAAAUGUGACAACUUAGGUUUUGUGGGUUCGAGCCCCACUCUACCCA